RNAcentral lists this ribosomal RNA (222 nucleotides) under uncultured bacterium. RNAcentral's name for it is "partial 16S ribosomal RNA". It matches the Rfam family "Bacterial small subunit ribosomal RNA", at positions 28 to 247 of the family's 1533-position model. The record is from RNAcentral.
GAUUAACGCUAGCGGCAGGCCUAAUACAUGCAAGUUGUACGGGAUUAUUGGUAGCAAUACUGAUAUGAGAGUAGCGCACGGGUGCGUAACACGUAUGCAACCUACCUUUAACUGGGGAAUAGCCUUCCGAAAGGAAGAUUAAUACCGCAUAACAUUGCGAAACGACAUCGUUUUGCAAUUAAACCUACGGGGGUUANAGAUGGGCAUGCGUCCGAUUAGCUA